AUGCCCCAGCUGUAUCCCCUCACCUGCCUGGUGUUGACCAUCCCCGUGUCCACCUCCCCCGUGGAACAGUCUUACUCGGACACAGCAAUGAUCACAGCUGGUCUGAUCACACUCUCUGCAGCUCUGCUCUGCAUCGUAGGUCUAACUGAUGGCAGUGAUGUGACUCAGACUGCUCUGCUGUGGAAGGACAAGGGUCAGUCUGCCACCAUGAACUGCAGCCACACUAAAGAUGUCAGUUACUUCCAGAUGUACUGGUACAGGCAGCUUCCAGGGGAGAUGAUGAAGCAAAUAGUUUUCACAACUCCUUCUGCUACUGAACAUAUAUAUGAGAGUGGCUUCAGUAAGGACAAAUUUCCAGCACAGAAGAGAAACGCCAACACUGGAUCUCUGACAGUGGAGAAGCUGCAGCCUGAAGACAGUGGACUGUAUUUUUGUUCAGUGAGUCAACACAGUGAUGCAGGUGACUCGGGCAGCUGCACAAAAACCCAACUGCUAGUGACAGGGAAAAGAAAAGAAGACAACGGUGUCUUUGACAGAGUACAGAUGGCGCUCUGGAUCUAGGUUGUCAUUUAGUAGUAUUUUUAAUUUAAUGAUGGAAAAACUACAGCUUGUUACAUUAGAGAAAUAAAGUGAAGGAAAACUUUUUUGCUUGAAUAAAUAAAUCAUUCAAACUGAAA
Molecule: non-coding RNA, 677 nt
Organism: Solea senegalensis (Senegalese sole)
Lineage: Eukaryota; Metazoa; Chordata; Actinopteri; Pleuronectiformes; Soleidae
Source: the annotation of a RefSeq genome assembly